RNAcentral lists this long non-coding RNA (941 nucleotides) under Salmo salar (Atlantic salmon). Its description in RNAcentral is "lncRNA (ENSSSAG00000118296.1)". The record is from RNAcentral. Lineage: Eukaryota; Metazoa; Chordata; Actinopteri; Salmoniformes; Salmonidae.
CAGCCCCACAUCAGACCACCCUUCUCUCCUCCAGGUCCAUCUCCCUUCAGCAGCCCCACAUCAGACCACCCUUCAGUCCUCCAGGUCCAUCUCCCUUCAGCAGCCCCACAUCAGACCACCCUUCAGUCCUCCAGGUCCAUCUCCCUUCAGCAGCCCCACAUCAGACCACCCUUCAGUCCUCCAGGUCCAUCUCCCUUCAGCAGCCCCACAUCAGACUACCCUUCUCUCCUCCAGGUCCAUCUCCCUUCAGCAGCCCCACAUCAGACCACCCUUCAGUCCUCCAGGUCCAUCUCCCUUCAGCAGCCCCACAUCAGACUACCCUUCUCUCCUCCAGGUCCGUCUCCCUUCAGCAGCCCCACAUCAGACCACCCUUCUCUCCUCCAGGUCCAUCUCCCUUCAGCAGCCCCACAUCAGACCACCCUUCUCUCCUCCAGGUCCAUCUCCCUUCAGCAGCCCCACAUCAGACCACCCUUCAGUCCUCCAGGUCCAUCUCCCUUCAGCAGCCCCACAUCAGACCACCCUUCUCUCCUCCAGGUCCAUCUCCCUUCAGCAGCCCCACAUCAGACCACCCUUCUCUCCUCCAGGUCCAUCUCCCUUCAGCAGCCCCACAUCAGACCACCCUUCAGUCCUCCAGGUCCAUCUCCCUUCAGCAGGCCCCACAUCAGACCACCCUUCUCUCUUCCAGGUCCAUCUCCCUUCAGCAGCCCCACAUCAGACCACCCUUCAGUCCUCCAGGUCCAUCUCCCUUCAGCAGGCCCCACAUCAGACCACCCUUCUCUCCUCCAGGUCCAUCUCCCUUCAGCAGCCCCACAUCAGACCACCCUUCAGUCCUCCAGGUCCAUCUCCCUUCAGCAGCCCCACAUCAGACCACCCUUCAGUCCUCCAGGUCCAUCUCCCUUCAGCAGCCCCACAUCAGACUACCCUUCUCUCCUCCAGGUCCA